This 503-nucleotide unclassified non-coding RNA is filed under the name Rhagoletis pomonella (apple maggot). RNAcentral's name for it is "cAMP-dependent protein kinase catalytic subunit 1, transcript variant X2". Lineage: Eukaryota; Metazoa; Arthropoda; Insecta; Diptera; Tephritidae. The record is from RNAcentral.
AGCUCGUCGUUUUCAUUGUGUUCGGGCUAUUAAACAGUGUCGUCUAUUCCUUUGGUCUAUUGGGUUUUUGACAAUCGAUUUAAUUGCACCAUCGCAGGUGUUUUACAAUCUCAAAAUUUUCGUACAUAUUUCGCCAUUUUGUCAAGUAUGUUAAAAGUGUUAAGUUAUGGACUGUUUGUUUUAUUUAAAAAACAAUGCUAAUAUCAAAUGUACUAUUUGUCGAAAUCGUCACAUUAAUGAUACGUGAAAUGCUAAAUAUCUAAAAUGAUUUUGAGACGUCACUACGUUAAGGAUUGGCCCAAGUGCGUUAUUGACUAAAGCCAAUUCGUAAAUUUUCGAGAAGCAUAACACCACAUCACAAAAUUGAAGUGAUAAAGAUUAUAUAUACGCAGUGAGAACAUUGAAGAAUUGACUAUGCAGCUAUAGUUAUUGAGUUAUUAUAUUGGCAUCUGCUGAAUUCAUAAAAUGAAUUUAUUUUUUCUUUUUCAGUAGGGAUUUUUGCA